CCUCGCAAUGAAUUUCAAUAGCCGCAGGUUCCUGUGCUAAGUAGAUAAUCAUAUGUUUCUUAAUUAGAGACUAGAAUUGAAAGGUUAAACAUUUUAUUUCUUAUUUUUUUACAAAUUAUUAAACUUAUAUUAAAUGUAAAAAUAACAUUUAUAUUAAAAAAAGACGACAAGACCCUAUCGAACUUAACUUUUAGUUUUGCUGGGGCAGCAAUUUAAUUAAAACUUUAAAUUAAUUUUAAAACUAAUGAUCCGAUAACCAUCGUUAAUUGAACAAGUUACCGUAGGGAUAACAGCGUAAUUUUUAUUUAUAGCUCUUAUAAAAAUAAAAGUUUACGACCUCGAUGUUGAAUUAAUUUAACUUUUCAAUGCAAAUUCAUUAAGGUAA
This 385-nucleotide ribosomal RNA is filed under the name Steatoda bipunctata. Its description in RNAcentral is "partial 16S ribosomal RNA". Lineage: Eukaryota; Metazoa; Arthropoda; Arachnida; Araneae; Theridiidae. The record is from RNAcentral.